CCUACGGGAGGCAGCAGUGAGGAAUAUUGGUCAAUGGGCUUACGCCUGAACCAGCCAAGUCGCGUGAGGGAAGACUGCCCUAUGGGUUGUAAACCUCUUUUGUCAGGGAGCAACGCCGGCUACGUGUAGCCGGACUGAGAGUAACUGAAGAAAAAGCAUCGGCUAACUCCGUGCCAGCAGCCGCGGUAAUACGGAGGAUGCGAGCGUUAUCCGGAUUUAUUGGGUUUAAAGGGUGCGUAGGCGGAAUGCCAAGUCAGCGGUAAAAGCGCGGGGCUCAACCGCGCUCCGCCGUUGAAACUGGCGUUCUUGAGUGGGCGAGAGGUAUGCGGAAUGCGUGGUGUAGCGGUGAAAUGCAUAGAUAUCGCGCAGAACUCCGAUUGCGAAGGCAGCAUACCGGCGCCCAACUGACGCUGAAGCACGAAAGCGUGGGUAUCGAACAGGAUUAGAUACCCUAGUAGUC
Molecule: ribosomal RNA, 460 nt
Filed under: uncultured bacterium
Lineage: Bacteria
Description: partial 16S ribosomal RNA
Rfam family: Bacterial small subunit ribosomal RNA
Source: RNAcentral